GCAACCCCUUGUUGAGAUUAGAGAUAGUCUCGAUAUUCACUGGACAAACUGGCUGCUUUAUGCAGUCUUGUUGAAUGGUGGAUAAACUCGGGGGACUGCUGACUAUAACCAUUUCUCAAAACAGAGGAAGGUUGCGGCAAUAACAGGUCUGUGAUGCCCUCAGAUGUCCCGGGCUGCACACGUGCUACAAUGAGUGGCGCAAUGUGCUAAUGUUUAAGGGAUAAGAGUGUGGUCAGUAGAACGUCGGGAUUUCCCCUGACGUCUCCCCCGCACGAUUAUCAGCCUUCCCUUAACAGGGCGGGCAACCUUUUCAAAAUACUGGUUUGAUGUUAAAGUAUUGAGUCGUUUUUUUUGGAUGGUGGUUUGUUAACCAAUACCAUCCGGCAACUGCUCGCGAGUUUGUGGUUCUGGCGACUCAUGGUGGGGACCGACGUUUGUAAUUUUUUGUCGCGUGUUAACUAGGAAUGCCUUGUACUGUCGAUUCACUAAGUUACUGGGAAUACGUCCCUGCCCUUUGUACACACCGCCCGUCGCUCUUACCGAUGGCUGUGUGUGUGAGUAAGAGCGACUGUUAAGAGGGAAA
This 583-nucleotide ribosomal RNA is filed under the name Globigerinoides ruber albus. RNAcentral describes it as "partial small subunit ribosomal RNA". It matches the Rfam family "Eukaryotic small subunit ribosomal RNA", at positions 1343 to 1729 of the family's 1831-position model. The record is from RNAcentral. Lineage: Eukaryota; Foraminifera; Rotaliida; Globigerinidae.